Lagopus muta (rock ptarmigan) is the source of this 1447-nucleotide long non-coding RNA. RefSeq lists it as uncharacterized. Lineage: Eukaryota; Metazoa; Chordata; Aves; Galliformes; Phasianidae. The record is from RefSeq and is a predicted model, not a curated record. The transcript has 3 exons.
CUCUCUUGGCGUCUUCUGGUGAGCUCAGCCGAAGGGCUGAUACAAUGAAUGACUUCCAUGAAAGCCAAAUCAAAAUGGUUUGGAGGUGUAUGGGAAGAAGGAAGCUAAAGACAGCAGCAGAGGGGCAGUCUUAUAGAAUGGUGUCUGACUGUGUGGUGGAAGUGACUGUGAAGCAAAGAUGCAUGUCAGUGAAUUCCUCUCUGCAGAGAAAAUGGCACUAAUUGAUAUUCAUUGACUCUUGCUGAAUGUUUAUGGAGACCAAACAGUGGAUAGGAGCACAGUGAGUCAGUGGGUGAUCUCCUUCAUAUCAGUGCUACCAUUGCUGAAACACAAGCCACAUUCUGAAUGGCCUUGCGUAGCUAUCACACAAUGGAACAAGGAGUGUCUCAAUCAGUUUAUCUGUGCAAAUCAGCUAAUGAUGGUGAUUAUGCUGAAUUUUAUUUUUUUAUAGCUGAGAAUUUGGGAUAUCAAACAGUGUUAUUGUGCUGUUGUAAUUUCCAUGGAAACAAGUAGGAGGCAUUACUUUUGGAGUAACCUAUACAUUCCCUGUAUUUGUGAAGUAAAUAAUUUAAGCUGUUUCUUCUACGUGUAUAUUUUUUAAAUAUGUGGGCAUAGACAUGCUUUCUUUUAGCUCCUGUGUUCUAUCAUCUUUUUGUCUCUUCUACUACACUUGAGUUUGUCACUUCCACAUCUGCUAAUAUUAUUGAAAUAACAUAUCAGUUCUUUGCUUUGAGUUGUAUGCUGCCAGAGGUAAACUUACUACUGCCUAUUGAAGAAUGUAGCAGAAGAUCUGACAAGGUAUUAUUUCCUAAAGUAACAACCUUUAUAUGAAUGGAACAGAGUGACCUUUUUAAAGAAACAUCACUGAUGUAAACUGAUAUAGGCUGGUUUAUUUAGCAAUGGGGAUUGGUAUAUUAGUUUAAGAACCAAUAUAAUAGUUUAGCAAUCCAUGUUUUAUAGUUCUAAAACUUUCAAUUUCAACUUUAGUGGGUGAAUAGUGUUGUUUUCCUCAAUAAUUUUGCACUGGGGACACAAUAGAAUACUUUUAUCUUUUGCCUCAAAUGGUGCAAGGAUAUUUUCCUAGGAUUCCAUGUAUAUUGUUUUAGAAAGUUGCUCACUAAGGCCUUGUAAGCAAUGGAAAUUUUCCAGAGUGGAUGAAAGUGAGUCAAGGGCCUCAGUGAUGAAGCUGAUGGUAAAAACUGGGGAAGAAGUAGGUGGGCAUUUGACCACCCUUUAUAUCACUGAGAAUGCCCAAAGGGAUAUUAGCAUAUAUUUAUGAGUCCUUGAAAAGGAAUGCCAGUGUACUGCAUACACGUCUUAACUGUUCAAAUGUAGAACCUGAACUCUGUGAGGGUGUGAUUGCUUGUCAAAUCACCCAGUAUGUAAUGUUAGGAAUAAAGGAAUGCUGAUUUUUAACAGCACGUUAGAGUUAGAGAGUUUUCUUCCU